ACUCAAAUGAAUUGACGGGGGCCCGCACAAGCGGUGGAGCAUGUGGUUUAAUUCGACGCAACGCGAAGAACCUUACCAGCUCUUGACAUGGGUAGUAUGGACCUGGGCGACUGGGUCCUUCAGUUCGGCUGGCUACCACACAGGUGCUGCAUGGCUGUCGUCAGCUCGUGUCGUGAGAUGUUGGGUUAAGUCCCGCAACGAGCGCAACCCUCAUCUUCAGUUGCCAUCAGGUUAAGCUGGGCACUCUGGGGAAACUGCCGGUGACAAGCCGGAGGAAGGCGGGGAUGACGUCAAGUCCUCAUGGCCUUUAUGGGCUGGGCUACACACGUGCUACAAUGGCGGUGACAGUGGGUUCUGCGCGAAGGGGCGACCCGGAGCCAAUCCCCAAAAGCCGUCUCAGUUCGGAUUGCACUCUGCAACUCGAGUGCAUGAAGCUGGAAUCGCUAGUAAUCGCGGAUCAGCACGCCGCGGUGAAUACGUUCCCGGGCCUUGUACACACCGCCCGU
RNAcentral lists this ribosomal RNA (506 nucleotides) under uncultured bacterium. RNAcentral describes it as "bacterial SSU rRNA". It matches the Rfam family "Bacterial small subunit ribosomal RNA", at positions 899 to 1397 of the family's 1533-position model. The record is from RNAcentral.